Long non-coding RNA from Vespula pensylvanica (western yellowjacket), 2279 nucleotides. RefSeq lists it as uncharacterized. The transcript is spliced from 5 exons. Lineage: Eukaryota; Metazoa; Arthropoda; Insecta; Hymenoptera; Vespidae. The record is from RefSeq and is a predicted model, not a curated record.
UACUUCAUACGUAUCAAAGGAAACUUAGAAGCAAUCCAAACGGUACAAACAAUUCCUUCAUUUCCGCUAGUCUUUUGUUUAAUUUAUUUAUAUAAGGUAAAUAUAUCAGUGAUCAUUAGUAUAUAAUUUAUUAUAAAAUUUCAAUUCUAUAUUAUGGAAAUGAAACUGAUUUUCGUGACCAGACCUACCUUAAUUCGUAUUUCGUUGCUUCUCGGAGAAGAAACUUUAUAUCCCUUAAAAGAGCGUAACCAGAUUUACCUUUGAUGAUUGCACAAUUUAAAUGAACAACUGAACGUCUGUCCUAAGUCUUAACUAAUCUAUGUAUUUUAAAUUAUUUCAAAGAUAUAGGAAACUAAAUGAAGGCGAAAGCAGUUCCAAUAGCUCAGAAGUAUUGCAGAGGAGCUGAAUUGACCGAUAUCUGAAUACUAAUUACUUCCAAAGAAGAUAAAAGGAUUUUAACUAUGCUCAACGGGAUUAUUAAACAUUCGACAUCCGAAAUGAAACACACUUACGUUGGUACUUUCUGUUCUUCCUUACGUCCGAGAAUAAGUCAUACUUGGAUAGUACAAAUGUCCGACCAUCAACCAGAUUAGGAAAUGAAAACGUUUAUCACUUUUCUAGUCCUAUAUUUAAAUGGUAAAUCGAUCCAUGCUGUGUUUAUGGAAUGAUUUUAUGAUGGCGGCCGGAGUAUUUCUACUGAUAAGUAGAACAUUAGGUCUCUUAACUGAAACUAUGAUAAAGUGCAUAUAAAUCAAGAACCUAUAUAUUUUUCUACUAGUCUAAUGAAGAAUAUUAGAUAUGGAAAGCAAGACGCUCGAUGAAAGAGAUGCAUAAUAACAUAUGAAUAAAAAUGUCAAUAUUGUUUGAAAGGAUUUUGCGUUACGUAUCGUUCUUCAUUUAAUGUUUCAGAUCGUCAAAUUGGCGGAGGAAGCUGAUGCUGCUCACGAAUUUAUUACAAAUCUUCCUAGUGAUAUGAAACCCAAGUUGGUGAGAGAGACACUUAAUUAUGCAGUGUAUGGAAACAACUUGUUGCUAUUGCUAGGGUGUUUCUAUAGCAACCAUUUACUUUAAUAUUGGAUUUUAACAAACGAGCAUAUUGUAUUGUGAAAACAAAAGAGUGGUUCAAGAAGCAGUUGUAAAAUCUAACCAAAGAAUGAACAUUGUUAACCAUUGCUUAUGGAUUAAAUGCUCUUAAAUCUUCCGAUUUUGAUGUACUGCAACGCGAUGUUGCUAUAGAGGUUUUUGUUGCAGUUCAUCGGCCGUGAUGACACUCUGAAUUAUAGCUCGAAUAUAAAAAAAGAAAGGAAAGAAAAAUACCAUAUGUCUUAUGCGCGGACAGCGAAUUACAUAGUAUCGAUCGGCAGAAUUGUAUUAUCUAAGAUCAUCAUCGAUUCUUAAAUCAUUUUUAGUACUUCUUGGUGGUACUAUGAUUUAUCGUUUUCUCUUCAAAUAUCCUCCUUGUCUUUGUGUGAUGUCAUACUGUGUUCGUUAUAUGAUUGAGAAUAUUCAGGAAGAAGAAAAAGAAGGUGAAACAUAUGUGCUUGACGACGAAGUUUUGAAAGACCAAUGUGCCGCAGUUUUGUAAAGCUUGGAACAGUGAUACAAGAAAAUGUGAUUUUAUCAAAGGAUCCAAACGUAAACGCUUUAGCUAGAGGAUAUAUGAGAUUGUACUCGGUAAGAUUUGUCGACAGGCCGUCCGACGUUUCAAACGGUACAUGGAUCAAAGGGGAAAUAUAACUGAAGGAGAUUGAUAAAUCGAAAGACAUACCAGAUGAAACGUAGGCGAAGGCAGUUUUAAUAGCCUCUGGGAGGACAUCCGAGUGGAAGGAGUUAGAAAGAAAAAUAAAGCAUGAAUUAAAAUCUAAGAAGUAAUUGAAAUUAAAAAAAAAAUAGUUGUUACAAAAUAGCCUUAAAAAAAAAGCAAACAAAUAUAUAUUCAGAAAGUGUAUCAAAUGGUUACACUUUCAUAUUUCUUUAUGCGUGCGGUAGACGUAAACCCGAUUGUUGAUCUAUAUUUACUGUUCUCUUAAUUUUUCAGAAAUUCUCUCAAAAAUUUAUUAAUCACGGAAAAAAGUCAAGUAAAAAUAAAAUUUCAUUUCUUAAUUGAGUUCUCAAUACAUAUUUGUUUGCUUUUUUCUUUCAUUGAUGUUUACUUAUUCAUAUUUAUUUAUUUUUCUUCAAUACAACAUUGACAUCAAGAAAGUAGGAUUCAGAAGAUUUUAUUAAGAAGGAAAAAUUAUAUUAUGAAAAAACUAUCUUUCUACAAUAUUUAUAUUUAA